UCGAUCAACCACUGUGUGAACCGGUAGUUUAUCUUCUUUGAUUCAGCUUAUUAACGGAGACAGAGAGAAACGUCAUCGCUCCGCACGGUGAAUCUCUCGGCUCGCGCAUCGAUGAAGAACGCAGCCAACUGCGACAAACGUAGUGUGAAUUGCAGAUCCGAUCGUCGAUUCUUCGAACGCAAAUGGCGCUCGUCUCUCGCGAGGCGAGCGAGGCUGUCCGAGCGUCCAUAUUUCCUUACCCAUCCAUCCAUCCAUCCAUCCUUUGUGGAAGGACGGACGGUGAGUUGGAGUCGUCGUGGCCUUGCGAUUGGCCGCGUCCUCUGAAGAGCAGAACUGAAAGGUGAACAUAUUCACAAUUUGUUAGA
This 365-nucleotide ribosomal RNA is filed under the name Acropora humilis. Its description in RNAcentral is "eukaryotic LSU rRNA". The stretch from base 77 to 227 matches the Rfam family "5.8S ribosomal RNA". The record is from RNAcentral. Lineage: Eukaryota; Metazoa; Cnidaria; Anthozoa; Scleractinia; Acroporidae.